Molecule: ribosomal RNA, 332 nt
Filed under: uncultured bacterium
Lineage: Bacteria
Description: bacterial SSU rRNA
Rfam family: Bacterial small subunit ribosomal RNA
Source: RNAcentral
CGUGCAGGCGGCCUGGUAAGUCGGGCGUGAAAUCUCUCGGCUCAACCGGGAGGGGUCGUCCGAAACUACUAGGCUUGAGGGCAGUAGAGGGAGGUGGAAUUCCCGGUGUAGUGGUGAAAUGCGUAGAGAUCGGGAGGAACACCAGUGGCGAAGGCGGCCUCCUAGGCUGUCCCUGACGCUCAGACGCGAAAGCUAGGGGAGCAAACGGGAUUAGAAACCCCGGUAGUCCUAGCUGUAAACGAUGCAGACUAGGUGUUGGCAGCUUAAACCCUGCCAGUGCCGUAGCCAACGCGUGAAGUCUGCCGCCUGGGGACUACGGCCGCAAGGCUAAA